AUGAGAGUUGGAGAUACCCGAAGCCUGUGAGCUAACAAACGAGGCAGCAGUCGAAGGUAGAAUCAAUGAUUGGGGUGAAGUCGUAACAAGGUACC
RNAcentral lists this ribosomal RNA (95 nucleotides) under uncultured bacterium. Its description in RNAcentral is "partial 16S ribosomal RNA". The record is from RNAcentral.